Molecule: long non-coding RNA, 2938 nt
Organism: Rattus norvegicus (Norway rat)
Lineage: Eukaryota; Metazoa; Chordata; Mammalia; Rodentia; Muridae
Source: RefSeq, a predicted model, not a curated record
CCUUUGAUCCCAGCAUUUUGGAGCCAGAGGCCGGCGGGUCUCUGAGUUCAAGGUCAGCCUUGUCUUCGGCCUUGACUUCAGAGUGAUUUCCUCAACAGCCAAGUAUACACAGAGUACUCUGAUUCAAGGGAGGAAAAAAGAUGCUGGGAGAAGUAAGAUCCAGUGUUGACUGAGACAGCAAGAGCAGACAAGUUAGUGAUCUAAAGGGCUCAAUACCAUAUAGCUAUGGAAUAUAUCUAGGCUGUCUACUGAAAGGAACAUGGCCUUUGAUAGGACAGAGGGCUUGGGAAGAGUUAAUGUUUGGAUUAUGAUGUGACUUUCUUGGCCCUCCAGCUUCCAAAUAUCGACACAUUAAUAUGAAUGCUUUAGGCCUUAGCACAGGCUUGUUCUCAACUAGCUCUUAUAACUUAAAUAAGUCCAUUUAUACUAAUAUUCUGUCAUGUGGCUUGUUACCUCCUGAGUAACAUCUGCUUCUUCCUCUGUGUCUGGCUACUGAAUCUUCCUGUGCUUGAUUCUUUCCCAGAAUUCCCGAUCUUUGCUGAUGCCCCACCUAUCCUCUCCUGCUUUGCUAUAGGCCAUUCAGUUCUUUAUUAAACCAAUCAGAAGAUACUGGAUGCAGUGUUUACAAGAUACAGUACAUCCAUAUGCAUGACAAUACCAAAGUCCGUUUAUCCAUUUGCACUCAACUGCCCCCCCCCCCCGCUCAGAAAUCAGUAUUUGAAUAAUACAAAGACAAUCUAUAUAGUGCACAAUAUUAUCCCAACAUUGGAUACUUUGGUGUUUUCUCUCUCUCUCUCUCUCUCUCUCUCUCUCUCUCUCUCUCUCUCUCUCUCUCUCAGUUCUGCAAAGGAGAACCAGUGUAACAGUUGUGCUAGGCAAGUUAGUAUUCUUCUACUGGGCCACACCCCACCAGUGACAGGAUUUACUGAGUUGGAUUGAUAGCCAGUCAAGUCUGUUGGUGAUCCCAGCAACUUGAAGUUGGCUUUAUCUGGCCCACUGACUUCCUGAGUAGGGAGGGCACAGAGCCAAAAUGAGUCCAGAGGAGGCCAGGUGUGGGGCCAGGAGAAAGGAAUGAGUCCAGAGGAGGCCAGGUGUGGGGCCAAGAGAAAGGAAUGAGUCCAGAGGAGGCCAGGUGUGGGGGCCAGGAGAAAGGAAUGAGUCCAGAGGAGGCCAGGAGAAAGGAAUGAGUCCAGAGGAGGCCAGGUGUGGGGCCAGGAGAAAGGAAUGAGUCCAGAGGAGGUCAGGUGUGGGGGCCAGGAGAAAGGAAUGAGUCCAGAGGAGGCCAGGUGUGGGGCCAGGAGAAAGGAAUGAGUCCAGAGGAGGCCAGGUGAGGGGGCCAGGAGAAAGAAUAGAUGGGGGAAGGGAGGAGUUGGCUGCCACUUGAAAGGAGACCCUGCAAAGAAAACAGGUUUGUUUUUUUUUUUUUUUAAACCAUGUGGUUGCUGGGAAUUGAACUCAGGACCUUUAGAAGAGCAGUCAGUGCUCUUAACCUCUGAGCCAUCUCUCCAGCCCCAGAAAACUUUUUUUUUUUUUUUUUUUUUUUUGGUUCUUUUUUUCGGAGCUGGGGACCGAACCCAGGGCCUUGCGCUUCCUAGGUAAGCGCUCUACCACUGAGCUAAAUCCCCAGCCCCCAGAAAACGGUUUUUAAAAGAGUGUUAAAUCGCCACAUGAAAGCAUUGUUUUACAGACAAAAACUGAAAAUUUCUGCUUCUUCACUAGAUUGGUGGCUUAGUUUCAAAUUAGUCCCAUACACAGCAACUGUGAGUACACCCGGGACUUUCAGGAGUCAUUAUUUGAUCACCUGAGGUCUGAGUGACACCAUAGCAUAGCCAUUUGAUUGUGAGUAGGCUGUUUCUCGGUUUGGAGACGUACACUUGUGCCUUGGGAUGACUAGCACACAUAAGAGUGCAUGGAGCAAGACUGGUCUCAGAAACACAGAGGCUUUGCCUCAGUGACCUUCGGGGACCUUGAUCUUUCAGUGGUAUCUAUAAUUCUAUCCACUUGCUGACUUUCUUGGCACCUUGUCUUGUCUUCUUUGCAUCUGGCUGGUAUAGUCUCUCUGAUCUCUCUCUCUCUCUCUCUCUCUCUCUCUCUCUCUCUCUCUCUCUCUCUCUAAGUGUGCCAGACACUCUUUUGCCCUUUGCCUAAGGUCCUGAGUUCAAUCCCCUGCUGGGGCUCUGGGGCUGGGGUCUAGCUCAGGGUAUAGCACUUGUUUAGCAUCCAAGAGGCUCUGAGCUCAUCUCCAGCAAAACAGACACACUACACAUAUACACUCACACUCACACACUCACUCACACACACACUCACACACAAAUACACACUUACACUCACAUCACACACACAUACACACAGUCACACACACACUCACACACACAUACACACAUUCACACACACACACUCACACAUGCACACACUCACACUCACACACGCACACACAAGUUGUAUUUUAUUCACAUACUAAUAGACCUAAUGAAAACUAGAUACUGUGGUUCAGGAAUUUCGUGUUGACAACUAAGUAUGUAUUUUUGUUUGGCUAAAUAUAUAUUCUAUUAUGCUUGACAAUUCAGCUCAUUUGUCUCUAUGUCUUAGGUAAUCCUACAUCGACAUUUAGUUGUAGUAAACAAGACAGUGGUCCCGUAUACAUUUUGCCCAGGAUCCGUGAGUCUGUGUGUCCUUCUGCCAAGCCAAAGGCAGCCUGCCCACUUGUCUCUCAGACAUCCUGGCCGUUCUCCACUGAAGGUUCAACUCACCUGGGCCCCAGUCCUCACCUCCCAAGCCCUGGCUCCUUGAGCCUGUUGAUGCCGUCUGCGUAUAGAUGUGGGCUCUGGCUGCCAGCUCAGAGCCUCUUAUACCUCCCCACUCCUUGCUUCUCACUCCUUUUCUUGUUUUGGUGUUCCUGAGAAUUUUUACCUGGGACAUUAAAAAUAAUUAUUCUUUA